Molecule: non-coding RNA, 174 nt
Filed under: uncultured Luminiphilus sp.
Lineage: Bacteria; Pseudomonadati; Pseudomonadota; Gammaproteobacteria; Cellvibrionales; Halieaceae
Description: 6S / SsrS RNA
Rfam family: 6S / SsrS RNA
About the family: E. coli 6S RNA was the first non coding RNA to be sequenced, but its function was unknown until recently. It consists of 184 nucleotides that fold into an extended hairpin structure with a large single-stranded internal bulge. The 6S RNA specifically associates with RNA polymerase holoenzyme containing the sigma70 specificity factor.
Source: RNAcentral
GCCUGGCGUAUUCGCCAGACAGUCAGUCCUCGAGCCGAUAAUGCACCACCCGGGGAUCAUCGAACGUCGCUGUUGUGCAAGUCCGGCAUGACCGGAAAGCCUGAUGCGGCGCGAUGAUCACCACCUUGAGCCGCAGGGUUCAAGGGCGACACUGUCAGCGGUACGCUGGGUUUU